UCCCUGGUGGCUCAGAGGUUAAAGCGUCUGCCUGCAAUGCGGGAGACCUGGGUUCGAUCCCUGAGUUGGGAA
Molecule: transfer RNA, 72 nt
Organism: Ovis aries (sheep)
Lineage: Eukaryota; Metazoa; Chordata; Mammalia; Artiodactyla; Bovidae
Rfam family: tRNA
About the family: Transfer RNA (tRNA) molecules are approximately 80 nucleotides in length. Their secondary structure includes four short double-helical elements and three loops (D, anti-codon, and T loops).
Source: Rfam